AGCCUUAAGAAAUUAAUUUAAGGUUAAACCUGCCCAAUGCUUAAAACAAAAUGUUAAUGGCCGCGGUACCUUGACCGUGCUAAGGUAGCGCAAUCAAUUGGCUUUUAAUUGGAGUCAGGAAUGAAUGGAAUAACGUGGUUUUUCUGUCUCUAAUUUAAUUAAUCGAAAUUACUUUGUAAGUGCAAAAGCUUACAUACAGAAAAAGGACGAGAAGACCCUAAGAAUUUUACUUAUUAUAACAAUAUUUACAAUGGUUUAGUUGGGGCAACAUAAGAGCAAAAUUUAUUACUAAUCUCUUCAAUAUAUACUAACCGAUUUUUUUAAAUUUGAACAAAUUACCUUAGGGAUAACAGCAUUAUAUAAAAAAUAAGUUUGUGACCUCGAUGUUGGAUUGGGAAACUAAAAGGUUAGCCAUUUUUUAGGCAAGCUCUGUUCGAGCUAAUAAUUCCC
This 450-nucleotide ribosomal RNA is filed under the name Mexichromis festiva. RNAcentral's name for it is "partial 16S ribosomal RNA". It matches the Rfam family "Archaeal large subunit ribosomal RNA", at positions 1917 to 2666 of the family's 2987-position model. The record is from RNAcentral. Lineage: Eukaryota; Metazoa; Mollusca; Gastropoda; Nudibranchia; Chromodorididae.